UACGUAGGGUCCAAGCGUUAUCCGGAAUCACUGGGCGUAAAGCGUGCGUAGGUGGCGUGUUAAGUGUGAUGUUAAAUCGUGUGGCUCAACCAUAUCGAUGUGUCGCAUACUGGCAUGCUAGAGGGAAGCAGAGGCAAGUGGAAUUUGUAGUGUAGCAGUGAAAUGCGUAGAUAUUACAAGGAACACCAAUGGCGAAGGCAGCUUGCUGG
This 209-nucleotide ribosomal RNA is filed under the name uncultured bacterium. RNAcentral describes it as "partial 16S ribosomal RNA". It matches the Rfam family "Bacterial small subunit ribosomal RNA", at positions 524 to 732 of the family's 1533-position model. The record is from RNAcentral.